This 277-nucleotide unclassified non-coding RNA is filed under the name Hevea brasiliensis (rubber tree). Lineage: Eukaryota; Viridiplantae; Streptophyta; Magnoliopsida; Malpighiales; Euphorbiaceae. The record is from RNAcentral.
AAAUGAGCAUGUUUUUGGCACAUGAACACAUCAACUCUUAUUCUUCCUGGAUAACUAUAAAUCUAUGUUCUUUAAAUUACCAAGUGAUAUCCCAUGUUGAAUACAUUUCAUGCUGUGGAUUCUGAGCUAAUUGACUUGGUUAUUCUUUCAUAAUUGAACCAUUUCUGUUUUUAAGAGAAUAAACCAACUAAGGAUCAUAAGAGUGAACAUAAACUAGUGGGUGAGAGAGAGAUUACUGGUCAAGAAGGUGAUGAAACAAAAGUGAAAAUGCAAAGAA